GGGAUCAAUGGUGAUGACUGGUGGCGAAUGAUUUUUGGAUGAUGAAAAAUACAUGUCUGGAUACUGAGGUCCAA
Small nucleolar RNA from Diceros bicornis minor, 74 nucleotides. RefSeq annotates it as small nucleolar RNA SNORD113/SNORD114 family. NCBI's taxonomy places the organism in Eukaryota, Metazoa, Chordata, Mammalia, Perissodactyla, Rhinocerotidae. The transcript has a single exon. The record is from RefSeq and is a predicted model, not a curated record.